Symphalangus syndactylus (siamang) is the source of this 7142-nucleotide long non-coding RNA. RefSeq lists it as uncharacterized. The record is from RefSeq and is a predicted model, not a curated record. NCBI's taxonomy places the organism in Eukaryota, Metazoa, Chordata, Mammalia, Primates, Hylobatidae.
AUGGAGUUUCGCUCUUGUUGCCCAGGCUGGAGUGCAAUGGCACAAACUCUGCUCACUGCAAUUUCUGCCUCCCAGGUUCAAGCGAUUCUCCUGCCUCAGCCUCCAAAGUAGCUGGGAUUACAGGGUGAGCCACCACAUCCGACUAAUUUUUGUAUUUUUAGUAGAGACAGGGUUUUGCCAUGUUGGCCAGGCUGGUCUGGAACUCCUGAUCUCAAGUCAUCUGCCUGCCUUGGCCUCCCAAAGUGCUAGGAUUACAGGCAUGAGCCACUGUGCCAGGCUUUUUUGUAUUUUUAUAUUUAUUUAUAUUUUGAUAGAGAGUCUCGCUCUGUUGCCAAGGCUGGAGUGCAGUGGCACGGUCUCAGCUCACUGCAAACUCCGCCUCCCAGGCUGAAGCGAUUCUCCUGCCUCUGCCUCCCGAGUAGCUGGUAUUACAGGCACCUGCCACCACGCUGGCUACUUUUUGUAUUUUAAUUAGAGACAGAGUUUCACCAUGUUGGCCAGGCUGGUCUUGAACUCCUGACCUCAGGUGAGCCGCCCACCUCGGCCUCCCAAAGUGGCCUUGCUUGAGGCCAGGAGUUUGAGACCAGCCUGGCCAACAUGGUGAAACCUGCUCUCUACCAAAAAUACCAAAAAAAUUAGCCAGGUAUGGUGGUGUGUGCCUGUAUUACAAGCUACUUUGGCGGCUGAGACACAAAAAUCACUUGAACCCAGGAGGCAGAGGUUUCAGUGAGCUGUGAUCACCUCACUGCACUGUAGCCUGGGUAACAGAUUGAGACUUGUCUCAAAAAAAAAAAAUUAUUGGCAGGAUGUGGUGGCUCACACCUGUAAUCCCCGCACUUUGGGAGGCCAAGGUGGGCAGAUCUCCGCCUGACUUACAUGGAGAAACUCUGUCUCUACUAAAAAUACAAAAUUAGCUGGGCGUGGUGGUGCGUGCCUGUAAUCCCAGCUACUCAGGAGGGUGAGGCAGGAGAAUCGCUUGAACCCAGGAGGCAGAGGUUGCAGCGAGCCAAGAUCGCGCCACUGUGCUCCAGCCUGGGCAACAAGAGCGAAACUCCGUCUCAAAAAAAGAAAAAAAAAAUCUUUACUUUGGAUAAGUACUUAGAAAUGGAAUUUCCAGGUCAGCCACUAGAUAUUAUUAAUGGAUUUAAUAUGAAAACCCUUUACUUGAGGAUGCAUAAAGCUUCAAAAGACAGGGUCCCUAUUCUUAAGUUAUAAAUAAAGCAUCAUUUGUAAGGUAAUAAUCAGAAAGCAUCAGAUAAUAUCCUAUAAAGUUCUCCUGUUCAUGCUGAUGACAUUGGAUGGCCAGUUAAGGAUGACACUUCAUUCUGUCCCCUGCAACCACAGUCCUGACAUGUCUAAAUGAUACUGGCCCUAUGAGAACACUGUGGAUAUGAAAGCAUUUUGUCAAGUUAGCUUUUUGGCCUGCUGGUUUUAAUCUAAUGAUGGGAUAUCCAAAGUGAAUCUAACGGAGUGACAUGAUUGUGCAUCUGUUGGGGGGAAUCAGAGACAGCUAGAGCAAGGGCAGACACGUGCUGAACUCAUCUGUCCUAAGAGCUGAAGCAAGCAGCAGUGUUGCUAGCAGGGCUACUGCCCAUCUGUACAUGUGGCUCCAAUGGCUCUGACCUGUUUUUUUCCCAGUAUGAACCUAAUACACGAAGCAAGUUAGAAAAUCAGAGUUGGCCAGGCAUGGUGGCCCAUGCCUGUAAUCCUAGUACUUUGGGAGCCAACGUGGGUGGAUCACUUGAGGCCAGGAGUUCGAGACCAGCCUUGGCAACACAGUGAAACCCCGUCUCUACUAAAAAUACAAAAGUUAGCUGGGCAUGGUGGCAGGCACCUGUAAUCCCAGCUACGGGAGGCUGAGGCUGCAGUGAGCCAAGAUCAGGCCAUUGCACUUCAGCCUGGGCGACGAAGCAAGACUGUCUCAAGAAAAAAAAAGGGAAAGGAAAGAAAAGAAAAUCACAGCUUGUUAGCCACUUGCAGCUAAAGCACAUAUGCACAAAAAUUAUUCAGUAAAAGCAAAACAGUUUUGGUGUAUCUUGAGAUUUUGUUUUGUAUCCAAAGGAAGACUGUAUCUUUUACCUUUGAACUACUCUUUGGAAAAUACCUUCUGUAUAACAAAUGUUAUAGUUUUCUUCUAACUGGGUCUUGAGGUCUCUCAGGAGAAUGGCUAUAAACUCUACCUCACUCUAAUGGGGCUCUAGGGAACGGGCCUGUGGGUUUUUAGAGCAGCCUUUCACCGGACAUUUCUUUUUCCUGGCCCACAGCCUAAUGCUCAAAUAUCUGACUCAUGACCAGGUGUCUCACAGGAAACUCGUUUAUACUGGCAGAUGCCCUUAUAACUUUUGUCUGACCUGUGUGCAGCUUAUUCCUACAUGAUACCCACUCUUUCUUUUCUUUUUUUUUUUUUUUUUUUUGAGACGGAGUCUCAAUCUAUCACUAGGCUGGAGUGCUGUGGCACAACCUUGGCUCACUGCAACCUCCACCAUCUGGGUUCAAGCAAUUCUCCUACCUCAGCCUCCAGAGUAGCUGGGACUACAGGCAUGCACCACCAUGCCCAGCUAAUUUUUGUAUUUUUAGUAGAGACAGAGUUUCACCAUGUUGGCCAGGAUGGUCUCGAUCUCUUGACCUCAUGAUCGGCCCUACUCGGCCUCCCAAAGUUCUUGGAUUCCAGGCAUGAGCCACCACGCCUGGUCUUUUUUUUUUUUUGAGACAGGAUCUUGCUCUGGUGCCCUGGUGCCUAGGCUGGAGUGCACUGGCAGGAUCACAGCUCACUGCAGCCUUGACCUCCUAGGCUCAAGCAAUCCUCCCACCUCAGCCUCCCAAGUAGCUGGGACUACAGGCAUGUCCCACUACAUCUGGCUAAUAUGUAUAUGAUAUAUAUUUUUAUAGAGAUAGGGUUUUGCCAUGUUGCCCAGGUUGGUCUUGAACUCCUGAGCUCAAGCAGUUCACCUGCCUUGGCCUCCCAAAGUGCUGUGAUUACAGGUGUGGGUUACCACACCCAGCCAAUGUACAUUUAAUUAUCAAAGUACUGUCUAUACUAUUUUAUGGAAGUACUUAUUAUCAAAGUGCAAUAGAGAUUGUUGUUGUUUUUGUUGUUUUUGUUGUUGUUGUUUUGAGACAGUUUCACUCUUAUUGCUCAGGCUGGAGUGCAGUGGUGAGAUCUCGGCUCACUGCAACAUUCACCUCCCAGGUUCAAGCGAUUCUCCUGCCUCAGCCUCCCAAGUAGCUGGGAUUACAGGCAUGCGCCACCACACCCAGCUAAUUUUGUAUUUUUAGUAGAGACUAAAAUGGUCUCUCCACGUUGGUCAGGCCAGUCUCGAGUUCCUGAUCUCAGGUGAUCCAUCCGCCUUGGCCUCCCAAAGUGCUGGUUUACAGGCGUGAGCCACUGCGCCUGGCCAAUAGAGGUUUUUAAACUUUUUGUAGAUAUUUUUGAAAGAUCCUGUCUUCCUUUAAGAAAAGAGAAAAGGCUGGGUGUGGUGGCUCGUGCCUGUAAUCCCAGCACUUUGGGAGGCCAAAGCAGGUGGAUUGCUUGAGCUCAGGAGUUUGAGAGCAGCCUGGCCAAAUGGCAAAACCUUGUUUCUACUAAAAAUGCAAAAAAAAAAUUAGCUGGGCAUGGUGGUGCAUGCCUAUAGUCAAAGCUAAUACAGAGGCUGAGGUGGGAGGAUCACCUGAGCCUGGGAGGUUGAGGCUGCAGUGAGCUGUGAUUGUGCCACUGAGCUCCAGCCUGGGCAACAGAACGAGACGCUGUCUCAAAGUGAAAACAAAAACAAAAAAAUGAAACGAGAAAAAAAAAAAAAAAAAAAAAAACAAGAAAAAAAUGGUAAGGGGGGCAGUGCCUAUUUAUUAAGCUUUUUUUGUAAAUACUAACUUGCAUAUCAGAUGUUUACUGUAAUAUUCUUUAAGCUUUGCUAGGCCUACAGCUUGCUGUGUGCUUUUCUACUCUAUUUCAUUUAUUUGGGAAAUAAUAUAUCAAUGUACUUUAUGCAUUCCCAGCUCUAAGCAUGGAAUACUGGGAAUGUCCCAUUCUAUGAAGGAGGCUUGCCAGCCGCAACAGGAAUAUUCAUGAACAUGGAGGUACUUUGUUGAAGUUACACUAAUUUUUUUACUCUUCCCCACUCUCAGCCUAGCCGGUCUGCUCACUAUAUUCUCUCUAUCCUUCAGCACCCUUUCAUCUCUUCCUUCAUCUUAAAAACCUUUCCUUUAAUUUCAACAGCGCUGCCUGGGUUUGUCAUUUCAGGGGUUGGGCAUGUUCUAGGAUCUGUCUAUAGACUUCUCUCAGGAGGAAUGGGAGUGCCUGGAUGCUGCUCAGAAGGACUUACACAGAGAUGUAAUGAUGGAGAACUAUAGCAGCCUGGUCUCACUAGGUAAGGAUGUCUAUCCCCAAAUAGCUCAUGAAUUUUGGGUGUAGCUUUCACUUGUCUGGGUGACUUUUCACCUGCUGUCUAGGGAAUUGUUUUGUGUUUUGUAGAUUAACAGAUGGGCAGCUCUUUGGGUCCAUCCAUCUUCUCCAUGCUUCAGACCUUUACACCUUCCUCUGUCCUUCAUGAGUACUAAGGGACUAACUUUGAAUUCAGGAACAGCAUGAGUAUGUCUUACUUCUUUUCUUUCUCUCUUUCUUUCUUUCUUUCUUUCUUUCUUUCUUUCUCUCUUUCUUUUCUUUCUUGAGAUGAAGUCUCACUCUAUCACCCAGGCUGGAGUGCAAUGGCGCAAUCUCAGUUCACUCCAACCUCUGUCUCUCAGGUUCAAGCGAUUCUCAUGUCUCAGCCUCCUGAGUAGCUGGGAUUACAGGCACCCACCACCAAGCCUGGCCAAUUUUUGUGUUUUUAGUAGAGACGGGGUUUCACCAUGUUGGUCAGGCUGGUCUUGAACUCCUGACCUCAAGCAAUCCACCUGUUUUGGCCUCCCAAAGUGCUGGGAUAAUAGGAGUGAGCCACCAUGCCUGGCCAUCUUACUUCUUUUGUUAUAAACAGGUCUCUCUAUCCCAAAGCCUGCUGUGAUUUCCUUACUGGAGCAAGGGAAAGAGCCCUGGAUGGUUUCAAGGGACGUACUAGGAGGAUGGUGCCCAGUCUCACUCUGUAGCCCCGGCUGGAGUGCAGUGGCGCGAUCGUGUCACUGCAAGCCAGUAAGAAGCGCUUGGGGAUGACCUGCCUACGAGCACAGCAAAACCUUUCCUGCGCAUUUCUGCGCCGGAAUGCCUACCCGCCCCGCCAAAGCAAAGCUUUGCUAUCACUCUUGGUGUCGUUUCCUGCACUUUCUUGGAGAUUUGUACCAGGCGCUGGAGACCCUCCCACCUGGUCCAUGCCCGCCGCCCAGUGAGCACCGAGACCCAACCUUGUGCACCGCCAGUCUUGUUAUCAACAAAGAGGCUAGUAAAUUAUAAAAAAUAAAAUAAAGGAAAUGUAGCUGGGCAUGGUGGCAUGCGCCUGUAAUCCCAGCUACUCCGGAGGCUGAUGCAGGAGAAUCGCUUGAACCCAGGAGGUGAAGGUUGCAGUGAGCUGAGAUCGCGCCACUGCACUCCAGCCUGGGCGGCAAGAGCGAAACUCCUUCUCAAAAUAAUAAAUAAAAUAAAAGAAAUGGGGACGGGCGCGGUGGCUCAUGCCUGUAAUUCCAGCACUUUGGGAGGCCGAGGCAGGCAGAUCACUUGAGGUCAGAAGUUCAAGACCAGUCUGGCCAACAUGGUGAAACCCCGUCUCUACUAAAAAUAGAACAAUUAGCCAGGCAUGGUGGCGGGCGCCUGUAAUCCCAGCUAUUCGUGAGGCGGAGGCGCAAGAAUCGCUUGAAUUCCGGCGGCAGAGGUUGCAGUGAACCGAGAUCGCGCCACUGUGCUCCAGCCUGGGUGACAGAGCGAGAUUCCAUCUUAAAAUAAAAUAGGCCAGCCGAGGAUGCUCGUGCCUGUAAUCCCAGCACUUUGGACACCGAGGCGGGUGGAUUGCCUGAGCUCAGGAGUUCAAGACCAUCCUGGCCUACAUGGUGAAACCCCAUCUCUACUAAAAAUGCAAAAAUUAGCAGGGCAUGGUGGCACAUGCCUGUAAUCCUAGCUACUUGGGAGGCUGAGGCAGGAGAACCGUUUCAACCCAGGAGGCAGAAGUUACAGUGAGCCGAGACCACGACAUUGCACUCCAGCUUGGGCAAGACGAUUGAAACUCCGUCUCAUACAAAAGAAAUAGACAAAGCAAAUAUUAAUGCAUGAACUCAAACAAAUGCUUUCACCGCCAGGCUCUGUCUUUGCAAAACUGAACCUAGGACAAUGUGCACGUUUCUAACUAGCAAUUCCGGAGGACAGAUCAGGGAGGCAGCGUGAGCUUGCUUUUCUGCAAUUUUUUUUUUUUUUUUAAUUAUACUUUAGGGUUUUAGGGUACAUGUGCACAAUGUGCAGGUUUGUUACAUAUGUAUCCAUGUGCCAUGUUGAUUUCCUGUACCCAUUAACUCGUCAUUUAGCAUUAGGUGUAUCUCCUAAUGCUGUCCCUCCCCCCUACCCCCACCCCACAACAGUCCCCGGAGCGUGAUGUUCCCCUUCCUGUGUCCAUGUGUUCUCAUUGUUCAAUUCCCACCUAUGAGUGAGAACAUGCGGUGUUUGGUUUUUUGUCCUUGCGAUAGUUUACUGAGAAUGAUGUUUUCCAAUUUAAUUGACUGGUCAGUAAAGUCAGUGUUUGCAGGCAUUUUCAAUGUUCUGUAGUGGGCUUCAGUUCCUAUGGCAGUGUGGCAGGCCAGGUUUCCAAUAGCAACCAGAACAGUUUCACUAACCCUUUACUAUAAUUUUGAUGAAUGCAUAAGUUAACGCUAAAGAAAUGGAGAAACUGGUGCCUGACUAUCAGGGAUGGAAUGUGAAAACAAACCCAUUGAGACCCCGCCUGGGUUUUCUCAGACCCUAAAUUCUGAUCGAAUAAUGAUAGCAUUCUUACACAUUCACCUUGGCCUGUCUUAAGAUUCAGAAACUUUCCAAGACUCUAGAGAAAUCUUUCCAGACCCUAGACCCGAGUUAAAGAUUAGAUGUUGAUUGAAUGAAACACUCCUGCUUGUAGGUGCAAUCCCACAUGGACCUUAAGCACUAGAAAAAAAACUUGUAACUUUGAGCUGAUCUGAUGAGUUACCUGGCGCUUCUCCCUGUAACCGGCUGCAGAAAUAAACUUCCUUCUUACGCA